AACCGCGGUUAUACGAGGGACCCAAAUUGAUAAAUCACGGCGUAAAGUGUGAUUAGAGGCAAACCAAACUAGAGCCAAAUACCCCUUAUGCAGUCAUACGCCAUAGGGGUCACGAAGACCAACAACGAAGGUGGUUCUAUAAAACUUGAACUCACGACAGCUAGGACA
This 168-nucleotide ribosomal RNA is filed under the name Gymnothorax buroensis. RNAcentral's name for it is "partial 12S rRNA". Lineage: Eukaryota; Metazoa; Chordata; Actinopteri; Anguilliformes; Muraenidae. The record is from RNAcentral.